AUCCACGUCAUCAAAUGUUACAAG
Molecule: microRNA, 24 nt
Filed under: Cynara cardunculus (cardoon)
Lineage: Eukaryota; Viridiplantae; Streptophyta; Magnoliopsida; Asterales; Asteraceae
Description: cca-miR6110-3p
Source: miRBase by way of RNAcentral